This 220-nucleotide ribosomal RNA is filed under the name uncultured Pseudomonas sp. Its description in RNAcentral is "partial 16S ribosomal RNA". It matches the Rfam family "Bacterial small subunit ribosomal RNA", at positions 133 to 355 of the family's 1533-position model. Lineage: Bacteria; Pseudomonadati; Pseudomonadota; Gammaproteobacteria; Pseudomonadales; Pseudomonadaceae. The record is from RNAcentral.
GUAGUGGGGGACAACGUUUCGAAAGGAACGCUAAUACCGCAUACGUCCUACGGGAGAAAGCAGGGACCUUCGGGCCUUGCGCUAUCAGAUGAGCCUAGGUCGGAUUAGCUAGUUGGUGAGGUAAUGGCUCACCAAGGCGACGAUCCGUAACUGGUCUGAGAGGAUGAUCAGUCACACUGGAACUGAGACACGGUCCAGACUCCUACGGGAGGCAGCAGUC